This is a long non-coding RNA of Nematostella vectensis (starlet sea anemone), 770 nucleotides long. RefSeq lists it as uncharacterized. The record is from RefSeq and is a predicted model, not a curated record. Lineage: Eukaryota; Metazoa; Cnidaria; Anthozoa; Actiniaria; Edwardsiidae. The transcript has 2 exons.
GCUCGGAUUUUAGUUUGAAUCUUAGAGCGGUAGAAAAACAAAAUGGCGGAAAGUUGUGAUCCAUAAAAUUAAUCAUCUGAUUUUACGCUUUAUUUAUACGAAUAGAAUCGACAAAACUUCCUGGAGUUAUCGACAUCAAGCUUCUUUACUACCUCCGUGCCUCUGAAGACAUGCCUCUACCAAAGCCUACCUUCAGGUUCCGCCCGAAUGGGGGCCUGGAGUUUGCCGCCACACCUAGGGCCAAGGAUGUGGCCCAAUUGGUGAAAAAACAAAAAAAAGAACAAAAAUUUGGCCCAAAGCUGAGUAAAGAGGAGGUAGUUAUAAUUUACUUUUGGCAAUUUUAUCAGCAUUCUUGCAGUUAUUCGCAUCAUUGUCAUUGUCUGUUGAAUAACAAUUCCUUUAAGGGCAGGACGUAAUUAUAAACCUACUUCAGGCGAGGCUCGAAGAAAACAAUUGACGAGUAAACACACAUGAUGGAGCUAAUAAAAGAACUUUGUGACUGCUUUAUCAAUCAUUACAUUUAUGGUUGUCGUGGGUUAUUACAUUUAUGGGUGGAGUGUUUUUACAUUUAUGGUUGACUUUUUGUUAAAUUUAUGGUUGACUUUUUGUUAAAUUUAUGGGCGACGUGUUAUUACAUUUAUGGUUGUCGUGGGUUAUUACAUUUAUGGUUAUUAGCCUGCGAAACAAGCUGUCGAAAAGCGCCUCAGAAAAGCCGUCCUAUCGGACGUAGCGCUCGGCCAAAAAUAGGGAGAUUGGGGCGAGAAGGGAAA